Molecule: long non-coding RNA, 399 nt
Organism: Ictalurus punctatus (channel catfish)
Lineage: Eukaryota; Metazoa; Chordata; Actinopteri; Siluriformes; Ictaluridae
Source: Ensembl
GAGCUCGCGCGCCCUCGGGAAAACACCGUACAUCAUCGCGAUAGCUUGGGCGCACCGAGGCACCGUUUUCGGAAUAUUUACAACGCUCUCCCACCUUCUCAUUUUCCGUAAAUCAUCGGGAUAAGGGAAAAAAAAUUGCCCAACCUGCCCGGUCGAAUGAGGUUUUUCAGCUUGUUAGACGUGAUUUGUGUGAGGAGCUUGCUAACACAAAGCUCUAGGAAGUCCCAGAGAAGAGGUCAAGGCCCUCGAUGCCUGCGGAAGAUGGAGGUGACUCAUGAGAACUGACCCACUUUUCAAAGAGAGCAAAUCUGCUGGUGUUAACUAGAUCAUGAGCAUUAAGAAUAAGUAUCUGAAUAGAUAUCAGUGAUAUUAUUGGUAGGUGUGUCUCGUAGAACUGGG